AUUAAAUUAGCAUAAUUAUUUGAUUGCAUCUGAUUUAGGUUCAGAAGGUAGAAUUAGAUAUUCUAUUUAAUA
RNAcentral lists this transfer RNA (72 nucleotides) under Ennucula tenuis. Its description in RNAcentral is "tRNA-Leu". It matches the Rfam family "tRNA". From Rfam's summary of the family: Transfer RNA (tRNA) molecules are approximately 80 nucleotides in length. Their secondary structure includes four short double-helical elements and three loops (D, anti-codon, and T loops). Further hydrogen bonds mediate the characteristic L-shaped molecular structure. tRNAs have two regions of fundamental functional importance: the anti-codon, which is responsible for specific mRNA codon recognition, and the 3' end, to which the tRNAs corresponding amino acid is attached (by aminoacyl-tRNA synthetases). tRNAs cope with the degeneracy of the genetic code in two manners: having more than one tRNA (with a specific anti-codon) for a particular amino acid; and 'wobble' base-pairing, i.e. permitting non-standard base-pairing at the 3rd anti-codon position. The record is from RNAcentral. Lineage: Eukaryota; Metazoa; Mollusca; Bivalvia; Nuculida; Nuculidae.